Molecule: ribosomal RNA, 888 nt
Filed under: uncultured Acidobacteriota bacterium
Lineage: Bacteria; Pseudomonadati; Acidobacteriota
Description: bacterial SSU rRNA
Rfam family: Bacterial small subunit ribosomal RNA
Source: RNAcentral
CAAGUCGAGUGCGCGUGCCGUAGCAAUACGGUAUGGCGCACGGCGCACGGGUGCGUAACACGUGGGCAAUCUGCCCUUCGAUGGGGAAUAACUUCGGGAAACCGAAGCUAAUUCCGCAUAACAUUCCUUGGAUUUCGGUUCGAGGACUCAAAGCCGUAAGGCGUCGAAGGAGGAGCCCGCGCCCGAUUAGCUAGUUGGUGAGGUAAUGGCUCACCAAGGCAAUGAUCGGUAGCUGGUCUGAGAGGAUGGCCAGCCACACUGGAACUGAGACACGGUCCAGACUCCUACGGGAGGCAGCAGUGGGGAAUCUUGCGCAAUGGGCGAAAGCCUGACGCAGCGACGCCGCGUGGGGGAUGAAGCAUCUCGGUGUGUAAACCCCUUUCGACUGGGACGAAUGCCUCGCAAGAGGAGUGACGGUACCAGUAGAAGAAGCCCCGGCUAACUACGUGCCAGCAGCCGCGGUAAGACGUAGGGGGCCAGCGUUGUUCGGAAUUACUGGGUGUAAAGGGUUCGUAGGCGGUGCGGCAAGUUGGGAGUGAAAUCUCUGGGCUUAACCCAGAGGCUGCUUCCAAAACUGCUGUGCUUGAGUGUGGGAGAGGCGCGUGGAAUUGCAGGUGUAGCGGUGAAAUGCGUAGAUAUCUGCAGGAACACCCGUGGCGAAAGCGGCGCGCUGGACCACAACUGACGCUGAGGAACGAAAGCUAGGGGAGCAAACAGGAUUAGAUACCCUGGUAGUCCUAGCCCUAAACGAUCAGGACUUGGGGUGCCGCCCGUUCGGGCGUCGUCCCGGAGCUAACGCGUUAAGUCCUGCACCUGGGGAGUACGGUCGCAAGACUGAAACUCAAAGGAAUUGACGGGGGCCCGCACAAGCGGUGGAACAUGUGGUUC